RNAcentral lists this transfer RNA (82 nucleotides) under Alligator mississippiensis (American alligator). RNAcentral's name for it is "tRNA-Ser (TGA) (tRNA-Ser-TGA-10-1)". It matches the Rfam family "tRNA". From Rfam's summary of the family: Transfer RNA (tRNA) molecules are approximately 80 nucleotides in length. The record is from Rfam by way of RNAcentral. Lineage: Eukaryota; Metazoa; Chordata; Crocodylia; Alligatoridae.
GUAAUUGUGGCUGAGUGGUAAAGGCGGUAGACUUGAAAUCUACUGGGGUUUCCCUGCACAGGUUCAAAUCCUGUCAACUACA